UACGUAGGGGGCUAGCGUUGUCCGGAAUCAUUGGGCGUAAAGAGCGCGUAGGCGGCCAGACAAGUCCGGUGUGAAAGUCACAGGCUCAACCUGUGAAUGCCGCUGGAAACUUUCUGGCUAGAGUCCGGAAGGGGCGAGUGGAAUUCCUGGUGUAGCGGUGAAAUGCGCAGAUAUCAGGAAGAACACCCGUGGCUAAGGCGGCUCUCUAGUACGGUACUGACGCUGAGACGCGAAAGCGUGGGGAGCGAACAGG
RNAcentral lists this ribosomal RNA (253 nucleotides) under uncultured bacterium. RNAcentral's name for it is "partial 16S ribosomal RNA". It matches the Rfam family "Bacterial small subunit ribosomal RNA", at positions 524 to 776 of the family's 1533-position model. The record is from RNAcentral.